AACGUAGGAGACAAACGUUAUCCGGAGUUACUGGGCGUAAAGGGCGUGUAGGUGGUUUCGUAAGUCUGGCGUGAAAUUUUUCGGCUUAACCGGGAAAGGUCGUCGGAUACUGCGGAACUAGAGGACGGUAGAGGCGUGUGGAAUUCCGGGUGUAGUGGUGAAAUGCGUAGAGAUCCGGAGGAACACCAGUGGCGAAGGCGACACGCUGGGCCGUACCUGACACUGAGGAGCGAAAGUGUGGGGAGCGAACAGG
This 253-nucleotide ribosomal RNA is filed under the name uncultured bacterium. RNAcentral describes it as "partial 16S ribosomal RNA". It matches the Rfam family "Bacterial small subunit ribosomal RNA", at positions 524 to 776 of the family's 1533-position model. The record is from RNAcentral.